CAAUAGCGUAUAUUAAAGUUGUUGCGGUUAAAAAGCUCGUAGUUGGAUUUCUGCUGAGGACGACCGGUCCGCCCUCCGGGUGAGCAUCUGGUUCGGCCUUGGCAUCUUCUUGGUGAACGUAUCUGCACUUGACUGUGUGGUGCGGUACCCAGGACUUUUACUUUGAGGAAAUUAGAGUGUUUCAAGCAGGCAUACGCCUUGAAUACAUUAGCAUGGAAUAAUAAGAUAGGACCUCGGUUCUAUUUUGUUGGUUUCUAGAGCUGAGGUAAUGAUUAAUAGGGACGGUUAGGGGCAUUAGUAUUCAACAGUCAGAGGUGAAAUUCUUGGAUUUGUUGAAGACUAACUUCUGCGAAAGCAUUUGCCAGGCACGCUUUCAUUAAUCAGGAACGAAAGUUAGGGGAUCGAAGAUGAUUAGAU
Molecule: ribosomal RNA, 417 nt
Filed under: uncultured eukaryote
Lineage: Eukaryota
Description: SSU rRNA
Rfam family: Eukaryotic small subunit ribosomal RNA
Source: RNAcentral